Molecule: small RNA, 125 nt
Filed under: Marmota monax (woodchuck)
Lineage: Eukaryota; Metazoa; Chordata; Mammalia; Rodentia; Sciuridae
Source: RNAcentral
GCCAGGCAUGGUGGCGCACGCCUGUAAUCCCAGCAGCUCGGGAGGCUGAGGCAGGAAGAUUGCAGGUUCAAAGCCAGCCGCAGCAAGUGCGAGGCACUAAGCAACUCAGUGAGACCCCAUCUCUA